GAACUGUGCAGACAUGACACUGCCUCUUGUCUGAGAAGGAAUUCUCUUGAGGGCAGGUACAGGAUUGCUGGAAAGAGCAGAGAUCUGAGACUUUUGCACUGUGGAGCUGUUUGUGUCCAGAUCUUAUCACUCAUCUUCCCAGCACUAAACACAUUCUUCUCAUCCUUAGAGGCAGCGGUGUUGGUGCAAGUGUGGCAGCAUCCACGUCCCGUUUAAGUUACAAGCCAAGGCACAGCUCCCUUCUGACGACAUUCCCUGGAGCCAUGAGCAGGAGAAGAGGGAUUUUUCUCACUCAGCUCCGUGAUGCAGCCCUGGAGCUCCUGAGACACCUUUUACAAAGCCUCUGCUGAAAGAGGGCAGGACCCUGUUUGUCCCUGGCUGUGGGAAUGUCCAGGGCUGUGUCAGGAGGGUCCCUGUGGAGCUGUGGGUGUCUCACAGCCUGAACCCUCCCGGGCAGCCUGUGUCUGAGCAGGUGUCACCCUCUGUGCCCCAGCCCUGCAGCAGCACAUCUCUGCUCUGCCUGCACUGCUAAUGAGUAUCUGCCUCUCUGAAACCCUGUGUGACAGCACAGCUGUAAUUGCGUUUCAGAAAGGGGAAAGCAUGUGUGUGCCCAAGCCACCCAUAAUUACUGCUCCGGAAUGCCUGGGGAGAGAGAUGCAUUGUGUGCCAUGACUACAGCUAGAAAAAAGGAAUCCUGAGGUGGAGUGUGAGCUGCCACAGCCUGCAAGAGGCAGCUCUGUGUCAUUUUCUGUGUGCACAGCAGGACCGAGGGGCUCUCCCACCGCAGGAGCCAUCGGUGACCUCAGCUCUCCUGAAGUGACAAAUGUCCAGCCCAGCCUUCCAGGGGUUUAUCCCUAAUCCACCGGGCUGGAUGUUAGCCAGGGCUUUGUCUGAGAGGUUCCAGAGGCUCCGUUCCAAGCUGCAGCCAAGCACAUUCCUAGUUGGAAAUAAUGGCACGCUGUGAGUCGGGAUAUUCUUCCUGCUUAUGGAGCGAUCCAGGAACGGCAGGCACGGAUUAUAUGACUUGAAUGCUGCACUAUUUAUGAUGUGUGUUCAGCCACCUGAAUCACGUUGGCAGUGUUCGAGCUUUGCCUGGAUAAUUGAUUCAAAUGUAAAUUGAAUGAAUAAAUCCUGUACAGCUAAAA
This is a long non-coding RNA of Prinia subflava (tawny-flanked prinia), 1145 nucleotides long. RefSeq lists it as uncharacterized. Lineage: Eukaryota; Metazoa; Chordata; Aves; Passeriformes; Cisticolidae. The transcript has 5 exons. The record is from RefSeq and is a predicted model, not a curated record.